This 74-nucleotide transfer RNA is filed under the name Thermoprotei archaeon. RNAcentral's name for it is "tRNA-Lys". It matches the Rfam family "tRNA". From Rfam's summary of the family: Transfer RNA (tRNA) molecules are approximately 80 nucleotides in length. Their secondary structure includes four short double-helical elements and three loops (D, anti-codon, and T loops). Further hydrogen bonds mediate the characteristic L-shaped molecular structure. tRNAs have two regions of fundamental functional importance: the anti-codon, which is responsible for specific mRNA codon recognition, and the 3' end, to which the tRNAs corresponding amino acid is attached (by aminoacyl-tRNA synthetases). tRNAs cope with the degeneracy of the genetic code in two manners: having more than one tRNA (with a specific anti-codon) for a particular amino acid; and 'wobble' base-pairing, i.e. permitting non-standard base-pairing at the 3rd anti-codon position. RNAcentral also lists the same sequence under 1 other name. The record is from RNAcentral. Lineage: Archaea; Thermoproteati; Thermoproteota; Thermoprotei.
GGGCCCGUAGCUCAGUCAGGUAGAGCAUCCGGCUCUUAACCGGAUGGUCGAGGGUUCAAAUCCCUCCGGGCCCG